UAGCCAAGCCGUCUGUAGUGAAAACCACAGACCGGGGAGCUGCUCGGACCUCCUGUUUGAAGUAGAACACUCUCAGAACAUGAGCUGGAGCCCCCUACCAAAGUAAGAUGAGCCCACAAUAAGUCACACCCGCCUUUCGUCUGUAAAGUGAGGACAGCAAUACAGCACGCUCGGAGUGACAAAGCAAAAGCCGUGGUGACCGCCACUGAUAGCCAGAAGCCCUGGAAAACUCGAUGCAGUGUCUGAGAAACCAAAGGAGGCAACACCGCCAUGGAGUCAAAGGGAUAGGUGGAGGCCAAAGGGCCUCUCACCUGCCUCAUCUGAGACACUAGGUCCCUGUGCUGAUCAGGAGGGCCUGGAGGGGGAAGAAGUACUCAUUAGUAACGACUUAUAUUUCCCAUUGGCUUUGACAUGAGCUUUGUCUCCCUCGGCCAGUGAACUAUUAUGUCCCAGCCCCCUAUUGUGCAUUGUGACAUAGCUACAUGCACAGGAAGUUAGUGACGAGACACUGCUAGGCACUGGCAUAUGGUGGAGUCUCCGGGCGAGAGCCCAAAGUGGACAAAUUGUUAAAAUUGUUUGUAUCGUGUGAGACCGUCGGGCAUAAGCGUCACAUGCAGAACGGCCAAUAAAGGCUCAAAUGUAUUUCAGACAGUGUCAAGAAUUCUAACUUUGCUAGUAAAUACUUCCUAGGUGUGAGACACUCGCAAUGCACUGGCAGGACUAAGAGAUACACCACUGGCAUGCUUUCUAAUAAAUUGCCAAGCUAAUGGGUGAGGGAGAAACAAAUUGAGCCAGACUGGAAAGGAAACUGCAGUAAAUGAAGAUUAGAAGCCAAGUAGCAUGCUCUGAAAGCUGCAAGAGAGAGCGACCAUUUCUCCUGGCAGCGUGGUAAACACGGUGGCAUCUGGGCUGAUAUCGAAGAAGAAAUCGAUAGAUGGAAAUAGGGAUGGAGGUCCUGAGGCUGAGAGAGGCAGGGGCAACGGUCCAGCAUCACACCACUAGGAUGUGCCUCUGCCUGCAAAGGCACUCCUGCCUACGUUCUGUGCACUGAGCAUCAUCACCAACCCAUGAGAGAGAAUCUGAGAAAUCAGAGAGGAGAAGGCAUGAGGAGAAGAGAAGAAGCAAUCCUUCCCUGUGCCUAGAAUCUAGGGAACAGGAAGGGAGAAAUUCUGAGGAAAGAUUAUAGGUUCCCAGGCAAUCACACUGCCUUUGGUUGUUUUUAAAAAGCACUUCUUAGUUGCACGUUAUUCAUUUUCAAGAAUUCAUCAUUUAUAAAACUAAAGUUGUGUGAGACUUUCCCCUGAAAAACCAAAAAUAUCUUUUAUUCUUAUUGUGUUUUCCAGAAGCUUUAUCAGAGGUACUAAUAACCCAAUAAUGGGUGAAAACUAUGCCAUUAAGUUUAAUGAAAGUCCUUCAUUUAUUUUCUCAUUUAAGCCUCAAAUAAUUCUCUGAAGGGGAUAGAACAUAAAUUAUUAUCUUUGUUCUAUAUAUGAAGAAAGAACAUUUUAAAUACUUUCUAUAUGCCAGGAACUAUGUUAAGUCAUGCAGAUAUAAAUCCUGGAAACCAGCGCAUACCUGUUCUUUUGAAGCUUGCCUUCCAUUGGGGAAGACCAUACAUAUGUGUUGUUGUACAUACUGGUCUGUAAGGAAGGGCAUCUUUGUUCUGGGAAGUAAAAAAGAUCAUAAAUGGAAGUGGAGUAACGGAUUAACACACCCUCUUCCCAGGAGUGGCUGUGUGCUUUGAGGACAAGUUCCAAAGAGUUGAAAGCAGGAACAGAAGACGGAAAAGAAAGUGUAUUAUAUAGCAGACAUGUAGUCAAAGUGCAUUGUGAUCUGGCAUAUCUAGACACUAUUUAUUCUCUCCAUCUGGGAAACCAUGUUAAGGGAUGAUCUAGGGAUGGGACAUAUAGCUAAGAUACAUGGCAGAAAGAUAUAUGGGAACAAAGGAAAAUGUCACAGUAAAAUGGGUCACAGAAAGACUGGCAAACUACCAGUAAAUGUCAGAGUUCAGCUUUGAAUCAAGUUAUCAGUUUCAGGACUAGCCCCUUUCCCUUUAGACCAUACUAUUAAAAUACUUGGAUUGUGUUUUGAGUUCUUCCAAAGCCUGAGGCCAAUUUGCUGGAGUUCCUGCGUUUUUGCUUGGUGUUCCUUGGUCUUCCUCUGUUCCAUUUGCUCUUUAUUCAUUACCUGGAUAAAAGCUAUUGAUUGUAAUUUUUUUCUUUUUCUGCUACUUACUCAUAUUUCUUCCUUCUUUCCCAUUCUGUCAUUGGUUGUAAUAUUGCUCCUCUGUUUAUUUACUGGAUCUGUGGAUUGGGGCCAUUCUAUCCUAAAGUGGCAUCUUCUUAGCUCUGCUGAUUGCCUAGAUUAGGUUGAUGAAGUAUUCCGGAGCCCUGAGGUCAGAUCCUCCCUUGCUGGCAGCAGAAGCUGAAGAUAUAGGUGAAGGUGUGGAGGCUGAAGGGAGCUGGCCUUCCUGCCCUGUUAUCAAGAUUAGAUUAAUCCAGAGGGAUGUGCCCUGAGGCCAAAAUCUCAAGAAGUGGAGGCCCAAGAUGGAGAGUAAUGGCUGGGACCAGGCUGUCCGCACCUAUCCUCCAGCUGCCUCCCUGCCAACUGUGGUCAGCACCUUGAGCCUGGCACAAGCUAUAACAUCAAGCUAACUCAUGUUGCCUCAUGUCACGGAAAGCUCUAAAUGGGUUUGGAAGAGAAGAAUGACUUGAUCGCUGUCUCGGAGAAUUGCCUAGUUGGAUAGGACAGAAGAGGUUGCCAACUGUACCUGAAUGAGAAUCCCCUAUAGGGCAUAAAUGGAAAAUAGUUGGCAGAUUCUGAUGAAAGGAGUGGUAGAGAACUCAUUACUUUCUGGCAUAACUACAUUCAUGUUUGGAUAAUUCUAUUGGUUAGGAAGCAUUAAUUUACAUGAAGUCUAAGUUUACCUCUCUGAAUCCUUAAUUCUCUUCCUUUACUUUUCAACCCUUUAUAAUCAACUUCAAUUUCAUAGGAAAGUUCUCUGCCCAAUGUUUUUAUUGAUCCCCUAUUAUUAAAUUUAAUCAUCUUAUAGAAGUCCUCAUAGUAUAUUCUCAGAGCAACUGAUCCUGCUUUCCACAUGGACUUUAUCUCCUCAGGAUCCCCCUCCCUAUAUGUUCAAUGAUCAUUAUGCCAUUUUCUAUCCUAGAUUUGUGAUCCGUUUCCUCUUCCUGCCCAAGUGGUAUAUUACAGAGUAAGAAUAAAACCAUUUAUAUUUAUGCCCUCAUUCAUCUGAAAGUUGACGUUCUCCACUCCCUGUGCUUCCCCACUUUGGUUAUGUGAUAUCCCCAGGUAUAGUGAAGUAUGAAGUGGGCAUCUGAUGACCAAUUGUCAGGGAGACUUCAGAGUUCUGUUCCCAGAUUCUUGGACAAAUUCAGACUAUACUAGGUGUUUUGAGAUUCUUUCUGAAUUUAAACAUCUGUAAUUCUGUGAAAAGAUUAAAUGACUAAUUGGAUGUGGGUUAAGGUAAAGGAAAGAGUAAGAGAUGACAGUGUAAUUAUGAAUUUGACUAACUGGGAGAAUAGUGACUCCAGCAGCAGCCAGAGCGAGGCUAGUAAGAGGAACAGACAUAAAGGUUAAGAUGAUUUUGAAUUAGACAUAUUGAUUUGAUGACAUAUUGAUUCCCAAACCCUCAAACUAGUCAUUUAGAAUCAUCCUGUUGGUAUUUCAGUCAGAGAGACAAGGAGAGACAGAGAGACAGGGGGAGAGAGAGAGAGAGAUACACACGUCUAGUCCCUAAAAAAAAAAACAUGGAAUCCAAAACACAUGGGAUAGAGCAUGUCAUUUACUCCAAUUGUUCCUGGUUGCUAUCAUUCCUUUGAUCGAUGUUCUGGGCCUUCAAUGAAACAAAUGGAUAUUUUUAGCUCAUUUCUCAAAGGACAGACUUGUAACUGUAUGAGAAUUGUUAUCAUCUCUAGCACUAAUUGGGAGCUUCUUCUUUUUUAACAGCCUCAGUAGGGACACUGGAUCGAAAAAAACAUAAGGAAUUCACUUUAGAAAGUUCCAAUUCAAGUUAAGGCUGGUUUAAAGGUAGGAUAAAUGUAAGAGAAGCUGAUAGGCAUCAGGAAAGUCCAUCAGGGCUCUUCUAAUAAUUAAUUCAUUUGGAAAAGCUCUCUAGGUCCAUGGGUAACUAGUUGCUAAGGAUGUCAUGAACAUAUAUUGUAAGUAUUAAAAUCAUCACUUUAGUCAAGAUGGAAUUUUCAGGACUUUAGUCUCCCCCCUCACUCUCACUCCAGCAAUCUCUCCCCAUAGUAUUUUUAAACCACAUUCUGUGCAAUGGUCUCAAUUUGUCUUCGGGUGAGAGGAAAACAUUUACGAAUCCUUUGAUGUGUUACUAGAUUGAAGGAAAUUCGCAAAUAUCGAUUAUGUCAAUCUUUAACCAAAAAGUCUCAAGUUAAGUUAUUGCUGUUUUCCCAGGAUAUGUUAUUAAAGAAAUAAAUUCUGUUAUAUUUGAAGAAUAAGGAGAAGUUUCAUGGUAAUGGGAUAAAACAUUUGUUCCUUUAUAUUUUGUUCUAACAAUCCCAAUUAAAUACCUACACAAUUAUACU
Monodelphis domestica (gray short-tailed opossum) is the source of this 4565-nucleotide long non-coding RNA. RefSeq lists it as uncharacterized. Lineage: Eukaryota; Metazoa; Chordata; Mammalia; Didelphimorphia; Didelphidae. The record is from RefSeq and is a predicted model, not a curated record.